RNAcentral lists this ribosomal RNA (234 nucleotides) under uncultured bacterium. RNAcentral describes it as "partial 16S ribosomal RNA". It matches the Rfam family "Bacterial small subunit ribosomal RNA", at positions 923 to 1163 of the family's 1533-position model. The record is from RNAcentral.
GCACAAGCAGUGGAGUAUGUGGUUUAAUUCGAAGCAACGCGAAGAACCUUACCAGGUCUUGACAUCCGAUGCAUAGCACAGAGAUGUGUGAAAUCCCUCGGGACAUCGAGACAGGUGGUGCAUGGUUGUCGUCAGCUCGUGUCGUGAGAUGUUGGGUUAAGUCCCGCAACGAGCGCAACCCUUAUUGCCAGUUACUACGUUAAGAGGACUCUGGCGAGACUGCCGUUGACAAAA